UGCUACAAUGGCCGGUACAAAGAGAAGCGAGGCUGUGAAGCGGAGCAAAUCUCAAAAACCGGUCCCAGUUCGGAUUGUAGGCUGCAACUCGCCUACAUGAAGUCGGAGUUGCUAGUAAUCGCGGAUCAGAAUGCCGCGGUGAAUGCGUUCCCGGGUCUUGUACACACCGCCCGUCACACCAUGGAAGUUGGGGCGCCCGAAGUUGCCUAAGAAAUAAGGUACCUAAGGCGAAACCAAUGACUGGGGUGAAGUCGUAACAAGGUACC
This 266-nucleotide ribosomal RNA is filed under the name uncultured bacterium. RNAcentral's name for it is "partial 16S ribosomal RNA". It matches the Rfam family "Bacterial small subunit ribosomal RNA", at positions 1223 to 1500 of the family's 1533-position model. The record is from RNAcentral.